UGGUUGUCCUGUUGAUGGGUCAAUAAUUAAUUCUCCCGUAGUAUUAUUAAUUCUUCUGGCUGAUAAUAUAUUUUCUUUUAUUUCAUUACUAAGUAAUUUGUCCCACCAUGUUCUUAAUUCUCCUGUAAAUCCUAAUAUUAUAUUUUCUGCAGCUUCUUUUUCUGUAAUUCCGACUCUUUGUUUAUAAAUAUUUCCUACUAUUACCAUUUCUUUUGUAAUUUGUAUUAUUUCUACUUCUGAUCUUUCGUCAAUAUUCCAUUCAUAUAUAUUCUUUGCAUUAU
RNAcentral lists this long non-coding RNA (281 nucleotides) under Manihot esculenta (cassava). RNAcentral describes it as "long non-coding RNA (MESC_LNC008687)". Lineage: Eukaryota; Viridiplantae; Streptophyta; Magnoliopsida; Malpighiales; Euphorbiaceae. The record is from RNAcentral.